ACAUAGUCUUCAUUGUACUGUGUAUUAUGUCUUACGUAGUGUGCCUUGAAUAAAUCAGAGUGCUCAAAGCAAGCUAUCGCUUGAAUGUUAAUAGCAUGGAACGAAUGUAUAGUGUAAGUGCGCUAGUAAGCAUCAUUCGUGGUGUUUACUAGUACACAGCACCAACCGCGAAGCGGAACAUUGGUUACCGACUUCGGGUGAGGAUUAAGAGGGGCAUUUGGGGGCAUUAGUAUU
Molecule: ribosomal RNA, 234 nt
Filed under: Myxozoa sp. OBTC 2
Lineage: Eukaryota; Metazoa; Cnidaria; Myxozoa
Description: partial small subunit ribosomal RNA
Source: RNAcentral